This 158-nucleotide transfer-messenger RNA is filed under the name Burkholderiaceae bacterium. Its description in RNAcentral is "partial transfer-messenger RNA". It matches the Rfam family "transfer-messenger RNA", at positions 1 to 170 of the family's 374-position model. From Rfam's summary of the family: Bacterial tmRNA, also known as 10Sa RNA or SsrA, is named for its dual tRNA and mRNA-like properties. Its role is to liberate the mRNA from a stalled ribosome. To accomplish this part of the tmRNA is used as a reading frame that ends in a translation stop signal. Lineage: Bacteria; Pseudomonadati; Pseudomonadota; Betaproteobacteria; Burkholderiales; Burkholderiaceae. The record is from RNAcentral.
GGGGGCGACCUGGCUUCGACGUGGGUUGUGCAGGAUCUCAGGGCAUGCCGAGGACCAGUCACCUCGUAAAUCCAUCUGGAACACUACAAACGCCAAUAACGAGCGUUUUGCUUUAGCCGCUUAAUACCGGCUAGACGCUGCACUAGCUGGUCACUGGG